CUGAGUAAUUGGGUCUCUAAGGCUCAUACUCCCACCCUUUGUGUACCUUACCAAAUUUUUAAGUUGCCUUGGUAGGAACCCUUACCCUUUUGUUAGAGUAGGGGCCUACCAUUGGAACUAUUUUAAACUCUUAUCAAUUGAGUCGUCUGAGAAAAAAAUUCAAAUGAAUUA
This 171-nucleotide unclassified non-coding RNA is filed under the name uncultured Dothideomycetes. RNAcentral's name for it is "sequence contains ITS1". The record is from RNAcentral. Lineage: Eukaryota; Fungi; Ascomycota; Dothideomycetes.